AGCGGCGGAUGGGUGAGUAACACGUGGGGAACCUGCCCCUAAGUCUGGGAUACCAUUUGGAAACAGGUGCUAAUACCGGAUAAUAAAGCAGAUCGCAUGAUCAGCUUUUGAAAGGCGGCGUAAGCUGUCGCUAAGGGAUGGCCCCGCGGUGCAUUAGCUAGUUGGUAAGGUAACGGCUUACCAAGGCGACGAUGCAUAGCCGAGCUGAGAGACUGAUCGGCCACAUUGGGACUGAGACACGGCCCAAACUCCUACGGGAGGCAGCAGUAGGGAAUCUUCCACAAUGGACGCAAGUCUGAUGGAGCAACGCCGCGUGAGUGAAGAAGGUUUUCGGAUCGUAAAGCUCUGUUGUUGGUGAAGAAGGAUAGAGGUAGUAACUGGCCUUUAUUUGACGGUAAUCAACCAGAAAGUCACGGCUAACUACGUGCCAGCAGCCGCGGUAAUACGUAGGUGGCAAGCGUUGUCCGGAUUUAUUGGGCGUAAAGCGAGCGCAGGCGGAAAAAUAAGUCUAAUGUGAAAGCCCUCGGCUUAACCGAGGAACUGCAUCGGAAACUGUUUUUCUUGAGUGCAGAAGAGGAGAGUGGAACUCCAUGUGUAGCGGUGGAAUGCGUAGAUAUAUGGAAGAACACCAGUGGCGAAGGCGGCUCUCUGGUCUGCAACUGACGCUGAGGCUCGAAAGCAUGGGUAGCGAACAGGAUUAGAUACCCUGGUAGUCCAUGCCGUAAACGAUGAGUGCUAAGUGU
RNAcentral lists this ribosomal RNA (743 nucleotides) under uncultured bacterium. Its description in RNAcentral is "bacterial SSU rRNA". It matches the Rfam family "Bacterial small subunit ribosomal RNA", at positions 94 to 823 of the family's 1533-position model. The record is from RNAcentral.